CCUACGGGUGGCAGCAGUGGGGGAUAUUGCACAAUGGGGGGAACCCUGAUGCAGCGAUGCCGCGUGGGUGAAGAAGCGCCUCGGCGCGUAAAGCCCUGUCAGCAGGGAAGAAAAUGACGGUACCUGAAGAAGAAGCCCCGGCUAACUACGUGCCAGCAGCCGCGGUAAUACGUAGGGGGCAAGCGUUAUCCGGAGUUACUGGGUGUAAAGGGGGCGCAGACGGGGGUGCAAGCAAGGAGUGAAAGCCCGGGGCGCAACCUGGGGACUGCGCUUGGAACUGCGUGGCUGGAGUGCAGGAGGGGCAGGCAGAAUUCCAGGUGUAGCGGUGAAAUGCGUAGAUAUCAGGAGGAACACCGGUGGCGAAGGCGGCCUGCUGGACUGCAACUGACGUUGAGGCCCGAAAGCGUGGGGAGCAAACAGGAUUAGAUACCCGUGUAGUC
This 440-nucleotide ribosomal RNA is filed under the name uncultured bacterium. RNAcentral describes it as "partial 16S ribosomal RNA". It matches the Rfam family "Bacterial small subunit ribosomal RNA", at positions 338 to 795 of the family's 1533-position model. The record is from RNAcentral.